AUUAUACCGUGAAACUGCGAAUGGCUCAUUAAAUCAGUUAUCGUUUAUUUGAUAGUACCUUACUACUUGGAUAACCGUGGUAAUUCUAGAGCUAAUACAUGCUGAAAACCCCGACUUCGGAAGGGGUGUAUUUAUUAGAUAAAAAACCAAUGCCCUUCGGGGCUCCUUGGUGAUUCAUAAUAACUUCUCAGAUCGCAUGGCCUUGCGCCGGCGACGGUUCAUUCAAAUUUCUGCCCUAUCAACUUUCGAUGGUAAGGUAUUGGCUUACCAUGGUUUCAACGGGUAACGGGGAAUUAGGGUUCGAUUCCGGAGAGGGAGCCUGAGAAACGGCUACCACAUCCAAGGAAGGCAGCAGGCGCGCAAAUUACCCAAUCCCGACACGGGGAGGUAGUGACAAUAAAUACUGAUACAGGGCUCUUUUGGGUCUUGUAAUUGGAAUGAGUACAAUUUAAACCUCUUAACGAGGAACAAUUGGAGGGCAAGUCUGGUGCCAGCAGCCGCGGUAAUUCCAGCUCCAAUAGCGUAUAUUAAAGUUGUUGCAGUUAAAAAGCUCGUAGUUGAACCUUUGGCCUGGCUGGCAGGUCCGCCUCACCGCGUGCACUUGUCCGGCCGGGCCUUCUCUUCUGGAGAACCGCAUGCCCUUCACUGGGUGUGUUGGGGACCAGGACUUUUACUUUGAAAAAAUUAGAGUGUUCAAAGCAGGCCUUUGCUCGAAUACGUUAGCAUGGAAUAAUAGAAUAGGACGUGCGGUCCUAUUUUGUUGGUUUCUAGGACCGCCGUAAUGAUUAAUAGGGACAGUCGGGGGCAUCAGUAUUCAAUUGUCAGAGGUGAAAUUCUUGGAUUUAUUGAAGACUAACUACUGCGAAAGCAUUUGCCAAGGAUGUUUUCAUUAAUCAGUGAACGAAAGUUAGGGGAUCGAAGACGAUCAGAUACCGUCGUAGUCUUAACCAUAAACUAUGCCGACUAGGGAUCGGGCGGUGUUAUUAUUUUGACUCGCUCGGCACCUUACGAGAAAUCAAAGUGUU
RNAcentral lists this ribosomal RNA (1025 nucleotides) under Setoseptoria arundinacea. RNAcentral describes it as "SSU rRNA". It matches the Rfam family "Eukaryotic small subunit ribosomal RNA", at positions 73 to 1107 of the family's 1831-position model. The record is from RNAcentral. Lineage: Eukaryota; Fungi; Ascomycota; Dothideomycetes; Pleosporales; Lentitheciaceae.